CGGGGUGUAGCGCAGCUUGGGCAGCGCGUCUGACUAGGAGCCAGAAGGUCGGACGUUCGAAUCCUCUCACCCCGA
This 75-nucleotide transfer RNA is filed under the name Phycisphaera sp. Its description in RNAcentral is "tRNA-Pro". It matches the Rfam family "tRNA". Rfam says of the family: Transfer RNA (tRNA) molecules are approximately 80 nucleotides in length. Their secondary structure includes four short double-helical elements and three loops (D, anti-codon, and T loops). The record is from RNAcentral. Lineage: Bacteria; Pseudomonadati; Planctomycetota; Phycisphaerae; Phycisphaerales; Phycisphaeraceae.